RNAcentral lists this ribosomal RNA (477 nucleotides) under Pseudomonas sp. RNAcentral describes it as "bacterial SSU rRNA". It matches the Rfam family "Bacterial small subunit ribosomal RNA", at positions 30 to 500 of the family's 1533-position model. Lineage: Bacteria; Pseudomonadati; Pseudomonadota; Gammaproteobacteria; Pseudomonadales; Pseudomonadaceae. The record is from RNAcentral.
AUUGAACGCUGGCGGCAGGCCUAACACAUGCAAGUCGAGCGGAUGACAGGAGCUUGCUCCUGAAUUCAGCGGCGGACGGGUGAGUAAUGCCUAGGAAUCUGCCUGGUAGUGGGGGACAACGUUUCGAAAGGAACGCUAAUACCGCAUACGUCCUACGGGAGAAAGCAGGGGACCUUCGGGCCUUGCGCUAUCAGAUGAGCCUAGGUCGGAUUAGCUAGUUGGUGAGGUAAUGGCUCACCAAGGCGACGAUCCGUAACUGGUCUGAGAGGAUGAUCAGUCACACUGGAACUGAGACACGGUCCAGACUCCUACGGGAGGCAGCAGUGGGGAAUAUUGGMCAAUGGGCGAAAGCCUGAUCCAGCCAUGCCGCGUGUGUGAAGAAGGUCUUCGGAUUGUAAAGCACUUUAAGUUGGGAGGAAGGGUUGUAGAUUAAUACUCUGCAAUUUUGACGUUACCGACAGAAUAAGCACCGGCUAA